AGAGUUUGAUCAUGGCUCAGAACGUACGCUGGCGGCACGCCUUAUACAUGCAAGUCGAACGGAGUAGCAAUACUUAGUGGCAGACGGGUGAGUAACAUGUGGGAAUCUUCCCUUUGGUGUGGAAUAACACGAGGAAACUUGUGUUAAUACCUCAUAAGUCUUUACGGAGAAAGCUUUAUGCGCCAAUGGAUGAGCCCGCACUUGAUUAGUUUGUUGGUAGGGUAAUGGCCUACCAAGACUAUUAUCAAUAGCUGAUCUGAGAGGAUGAUCAGCCACAUUGGGACUGAGACACGUCCCAAACUCCUACGGGAGGCAGCAGUAGGGAAUAUUGCACAAUGGAGGAAACUCUGAUGCAGCGAUGCCGCGUGAGUGAAGAAGGCCCUUGGGUUGUAAAGCUCUUUCGUCGGGGAAGAAAAUGACUGUACCCGAAUAAGAAGGUCCGGCUAACUUCGUGCCAGCAGCCGCGGUAAUACGAAGGGACCUAGCGUAGUUCGGAAUUACUGGGCUUAAAGAGUUCGUAGGUGGUUAAAAUAGUGGUGGUGAAAUCCCAGAGCUUNACUCUGGAACUGCCAUCAAAACUUUUUAGCUAGAGUUGAUAGAGGAA
RNAcentral lists this ribosomal RNA (604 nucleotides) under uncultured marine bacterium. RNAcentral's name for it is "bacterial SSU rRNA". It matches the Rfam family "Bacterial small subunit ribosomal RNA", at positions 8 to 659 of the family's 1533-position model. The record is from RNAcentral.